UACGGGGGGUGCGAGCGUUGUCCGGAAUCACUGGGCGUAAAGGGCGCGUAGGUGGUUUGAUAAGGGUGUGGUGAAAGUCCGGAGCUCAACUCCGGAUCUGCCGUGCCGACUGUCAAACUCGAGGGCUGUAGAGGCAGACGGAAUUCCGGGUGUAGCGGUGGAAUGCGUAGAUAUCAGGAGGAACACCUGUGGUGUAGACAGCUUACUGGACCACUUCUGACGCUGAGACACGAAAGCGUGGGUAGCAAACAGG
This 253-nucleotide ribosomal RNA is filed under the name uncultured bacterium. RNAcentral's name for it is "partial 16S ribosomal RNA". It matches the Rfam family "Bacterial small subunit ribosomal RNA", at positions 524 to 776 of the family's 1533-position model. The record is from RNAcentral.